UUCGCAAUGCCCGAAAGGGUGACGAAGCGACGCCGCGUGCGGGAAGAAGGCCUUCGGGUUGUAAACCGCUGUCGGGAGUUAAGAAAUGCGAGGGUAUUAAUAGUAUCCUUGCUUGACUAAGGCUCCGGAGGAAGCCACGGCUAACUCUGUGCCAGCAGCCGCGGUAAUACAGAGGCGGCAAGCGUUGUUCGGAAUUAUUGGGCGUAAAGAGCACGUAGGCGGCUGUGUAAGUCGGUUGUGAAAGCCUUCCGCUCAACGGGAGAACGGCAUCCGAUACUGCAUUUCUUGAGUGCGGGAGGGGAGAGUGGAACUUCUGGUGGAGCGGUGAAAUGCGUAGAUAUCAGAAGGAACACCGGCGGCGAAGGCGACUCUCUAGCCCGUAACUCACGCUGAGUGUGCGAAAGCUAGGGGAGCAAACGGGAUUAGAUACCCCGGUAGUCCUAGCCGUAAACGAUGGGCACUAA
RNAcentral lists this ribosomal RNA (464 nucleotides) under uncultured Planctomycetota bacterium. RNAcentral's name for it is "bacterial SSU rRNA". It matches the Rfam family "Bacterial small subunit ribosomal RNA", at positions 365 to 819 of the family's 1533-position model. Lineage: Bacteria; Pseudomonadati; Planctomycetota. The record is from RNAcentral.